RNAcentral lists this ribosomal RNA (253 nucleotides) under uncultured bacterium. RNAcentral's name for it is "partial 16S ribosomal RNA". It matches the Rfam family "Bacterial small subunit ribosomal RNA", at positions 524 to 776 of the family's 1533-position model. The record is from RNAcentral.
UACAGAGGUCCCAAGCGUUGUUCGGAUUCACUGGGCGUAAAGGGUGCGUAGGCGGUCGGGUAAGUCUGACGUGAAAUCUUCAAGCUCAACUUGGAAACUGCGUCGGAUACUAUUCGGCUCGAGGAAUGGAGGGGAGACUGGAAUUCUCGGUGUAGCAGUGAAAUGCGUAGAUAUCGGGAGGAACACCAGUGGCGAAGGCGACUUCCUGGCCUGUUCUUGACGCUGAGGCGCGAAAGCUAGGGUAGCAAACGGG